UCGAGAAUCGGUCAUCCAGGGUCAGUAACCCCUGGAGGGUCACUCACCCGGAGUUCAUCACCCUCGCAGGGCCCGUAACCCUGAGGAGAGUCGCUCACUCACCCAUCAGUCACCCGCGGUCCGUCACCUACAGAGCGUUGUCACCCGGGGGUGGUCACCCGUGGAGGGCCGACCCCCGCGCAGCACCUAUCGGGCAGUUUACCUUUUGAAAGAUCACAGAAUCACGGGAUGGGCAAGGUUGGAGGAUAUCACCAGCAGCUUAUCUGGUCCAGCCUCCCUGCUCAAGAAGGGUCACCUGAGUGGCACAGCACUGUGUGCUGACAGUUCUGGAGUAUCUCCAGGGAGGGAGACACCAUAACCUCUCCAGGUAUCCUGUCACUAGUCUGACGUGGAUGAAAUCUUCCCUGUCAGCCCAUUUGUCCAUGUGCUCGGUUGCCCAAAAAGUUCAAACUACAGGACAAACAGUGUCCCUUAAGUGAAGAUUUUGAAUACGAGAAACCAGAUAGGAACAAAGACACUGUUCAAAGAGAGGCAUAAAAACUUACACCUUGGAAAACAAUCCCUUGGUUGCAACUCUCCACUGCUUACAUGGUAGCAUUGUACCUUGAUUUCUGGAAGUAAAUAUACCUUAAUUUAUGCGUUGCAUUACCUCAGGCGACUCGAUUGGUUUUAACAGAGUCAAUGGCAGCAGAGUGACACUUUCUCAGGUGUUGCUGGUUGCUGUUCCCAUACACCACGGACACAUGCAUAUCUCCUGAUAGUUUUUCCUCAAGUACACACCUCCUGCUUCUUCUAGGCUGCCAUCCAGUCCUUUUGUAAUGGCUCCUCAUCUGUAUAUAUUUUUACAAAUAAAACAUCCCCAUAUGCAUUCUCCUUUACAUUUUUCAGUUUCUGAACACCUCCUAGUAAACAUAAAUACUAAAUAUUAGCAUUCAAAAUAGUGUAACUAAUAUCACAACUGCAUUGAGAGUGAUUGUAUAGGAACAUUUACUGGUCAGAAUUUGCAUCAGUAAGCAGAAGAUUGAACAUGGAAUUUUGUUGGGGGUUGUGUGUCUGUCCUUUUGUUCCUUCUCACCUAUGGAGUUUUUUCCCAUUAGUUGCUGGGAAAACCUCAUGGUACUUGUUGUGUGUUUGAGAAACACAAAGAGU
Non-coding RNA from Cyanistes caeruleus (blue tit), 1149 nucleotides. NCBI's taxonomy places the organism in Eukaryota, Metazoa, Chordata, Aves, Passeriformes, Paridae. The record is from RefSeq and is a predicted model, not a curated record.